GACGAACGCUGGCGGCGUGCUUAACACAUGCAAGUCGAACGGAAAGGCCCUGAGUUUGUGGGGUGCUCGAUUGGCGAACGGGUGAGUAACACGUGAGUAACCUGCUCUAGACUUUGGGAUAACUUCAGGAAAGUGGGGCUAAGAUCGUAUAGGAGCCCCUGCUGCAGUGUGGGGGGUGGAAAGUUUCGGCGGUUGGGGAUGGACUCGCGGCUUAUCAGCUUGUUGGUGGGGUAGUGGCUUACCAAGGCUUUGAAGGGUAGCUGGCCUGAGAGGGUGACCGGCGACAUUGGGACUGAGAGACGGACCAGAGUCCUACGGGAGGCAGCAGUGGGGAAUAUUGCACAAUGGGCGGAAGUCUGAUGCAGAAACGCCGCGUGCGGGAUGACGGCCUUCGGGUUGUAAAACGCUUUCGCCUGUGACGAAGCGUGAGUGACGGUAAUGGGUAAAGAAGCACCGGCUAACUACGUG
This 468-nucleotide ribosomal RNA is filed under the name uncultured bacterium. RNAcentral describes it as "partial 16S ribosomal RNA". It matches the Rfam family "Bacterial small subunit ribosomal RNA", at positions 28 to 507 of the family's 1533-position model. The record is from RNAcentral.